Cynoglossus semilaevis (tongue sole) is the source of this 1924-nucleotide long non-coding RNA. RefSeq lists it as uncharacterized. The transcript has 2 exons. The record is from RefSeq and is a predicted model, not a curated record. NCBI's taxonomy places the organism in Eukaryota, Metazoa, Chordata, Actinopteri, Pleuronectiformes, Cynoglossidae.
CUGCAGAGGGAAGACGCAAUCGUCCCUUGACACGUUUUGGUUUGAUGACACGUGAAGGAGCCGUAAAGUGGCAAAAAGGAGCAUCUGACUGUAGCGUACAUACACAUAUAUGUAUAAAUAUUUAUUUCUGUAAACUUCUCCUUCAACCCUCAGCCCUUCUCUCAGUUGUUGUCAUGCAUUUUGCACUGGAUAUUAAUAAGCACAUUUUAACAGUGGUGAUGUCAUGAACUUGGGUGGAACCAAGCGGAUAUUAAUCACAGCUGAUGGUUGCUGUGUGACAGCCCACCUACAUUGAGUCCCACACACUGAGGCGAUAAUGAAAUUAUUGGAGCAUCUGUCUCUGUUUUCCUUCGCCCUCUGGCUCUUCUUGUUUUUAUUUUCUUCUAGUAAACAUUUGGGUGUGGACACAAACUCCCUGGUCAGUUUGUUAUUUUCCACUUUGGCCUCAUCCUUCUUCUUCUGUUCUGUAAUAUUUCCUUAUCCGUCGUUGAUCUGACUUCAGGCCUUUAAAGAGACCAAAUAAUGACAUUGAGGUUUGACGCCCUUCACUGAUUCAGGAUAAUCAACCACAGUUUCCUCUGUGUCUUAGGGACUUGAAAGAUGCCAAAGAACGUUUCUCGGUUUUUCAUCCCAGUCUGUAAACGUGGGGUUAAUAUGUUUUGAGGGAUGUUGUCUCGGCUCCUUUAUGACUUUUAUUUCUCUCGUUGGGAGCACUGCUGGGAUUUUUGGAAUGAAUAUUGAGGCGACCUGCUCUGCGUUCAUCUGCAGCCCUUUGAUGUGAAAAACCCCGUGGAGUCUUUGAGACGCUGCGUCUGUGUCUUCUGAAGAAGAAGUGCCACCAGCAAAGCAGCCAAUCUCUAAGUCUUUGUGUCAGAGUUCUUUUUUUUCUACCAACUUUUUUUUAAUAUACUGCAAAAAUGUGUGUGUGUGUGUGUUUGACUGGUGCCUCGCUGCUGUGUGAUGGCAGAAGUGUCGGAGUUAGGUCUGAUUCUCUGCCUAUGAUUGGUCAGAAUGGACUUUAGGAAAGCGUGGAUCAGGGUGGAAGAGCAUGAUCAAACAUCUGGACCUCACCCCUCCAACCUUAUCUCCACUGCUUUACUGUCCUCUCUGAACCCUCGUCUUUACCGUCAGUUACUGUGGGAUAACCAACUGCAGGUAUUUAAAACUUUUCUCCUUCUGCCCUUGCGCCCCUCCCCUCCUCCCCCUCUCCACCCGCCUCACUCUGUAGCUGAACCCCUACAGUUCUUCCUCCUCCAGCGUGAUAAAUAGUACAGUCAUCAGUAAUCUGAAUGAGGUGCUUGGCUUCAUUUAGUGAGCUGUAGCAGAUGCAGGUGCUUUGGCUCCGUCCUUCCUUCAUAAAUCUCCCCAGUGUUUGCCUAAAAGCUGUGUAGUUAACACAUUAAAUCUUGUUUAUAAUCAAACCUAAUCUGGCCCGUGAUGCAUUUUGGGUUGUUUCUUUUUUGCAGAAAAUUUCUGGCAGGUCCAUUAGUCACAUAGAGUCUGCCCAUGGACUUUAAUUUUAAACGCCUGAUUCAGUCCUCUUUAAACACAAUUUAUUAAGUUUUAGCUUCAUAAAUGACACUUUUAUGUGGAGUUGAACGGGUUUGGUACAAAGUUUAACUUGUGAAAAGUUGGUGUGCUUCCAACAACUGCAGAAAGAUCCACUGUAGGAAAAGAACAGUUGGUUUUCACCCUCAAACUGAGGCAUUUAAAGUUACCACUGAGCCACUGAAGUGGACCUGGGUCCAGAAGGUUUCAGGUUCAAGUCCACCAGCUGCCAAGUCACCACUGAGGUUCUCUGAUCAUGUCACCGUCCCCACUCUCUGCUCCCCCACUGUUCACUUUGGUGAUGGGUUAAAAGCAGAGGUCACAUCUGGUUGAGUGCAGUGGUGAGCUGUGAACACAAUGACAAGGAGUUGACUUU